Molecule: long non-coding RNA, 855 nt
Filed under: Mytilus galloprovincialis (Mediterranean mussel)
Lineage: Eukaryota; Metazoa; Mollusca; Bivalvia; Mytilida; Mytilidae
Source: RNAcentral
UUGUAAAUAUAUUCUCUCCCUUUGAUUUGUAUUAUAUUUUAUUGUGUAUUGUAAGUCAUCUAUUAUUUAUUGAACAUUUGGACUGUAAUUUACAACUAUUGCAGCUCCAUAUUUUUUUCUUAAAUAUUACUUCUAAUUUUCUUUGAUUUAAAUGCAGCUCUAGUCAAUGAUUAGAUAAAGAAAUAUUUUAUUUUGAAAAAUGAAGUGUACAUGUAUUUAAUUUUACACAAAUUAGUCAAUAUAAUAGCAGAAAAAAGUUAUGAUCUUUAUUAUAUGGGACCCUGUACUGUUUUGCUGUUUUGUUCUGAGGGAGGGUUAAUUUUGAGUGUUAGGUUUAAGGAUGCUCGCUUGUCAAGUUUUUGAAUUUUUGUCAGAUUUUCGGAAUCCUCUGGUUUUAUCCAUUUAAAUGCCUUAAAAAUUUUGACCAUUUUUUACAUGUAUAGUCAUGAUAGUGAUAAGCCAUCUGUAAAAGUCUUAUAAAAUUUUAAUUAUUUAAAAAAAAUUAUUUAUGAAAGAAAAUUAAGAAAGGAGAGAAUAAUAGUAUUGCUAAGUCUGGUAUGGGUUCUUUGAAAGUGGAGGAUGAAGGGGGCCUUUGGCUAAGUCUGGUAUGGAUUCUUUGAAAGUGGAGGAGGAUGAAGUGGGCCUUUGGCUAAGUCUGGUAUGGGUUCUUUGAAAGUGGGGGAGGAUGAAGGGGGCCUUUGGCUAACACACUUGGCUUUCUAUAUUGUUAUAUAGCUGGGUGUCUUGAUUUUGGAUGUACACUAUAUAAAAAAAUUUAAAAGUCAUCUGACAACAAGCUUCUAGUAGAAGUCUAAAAAUUUUUUUUUUUGUCUUUGCCUGUAAAAAGCUUUGAUG